UUUUUUUUACAAACCUUAUAUAUAUACAUAUAUAUAUUUUUAUAUUAAAGCUCAUAUUUAUUUUAUGUUGCAUAAUUGUAUAUUUUGAUGUAUUUGGUGCAGUACAUUGAAAGAAUUGUUUGAAUAAUUGUGUUGUGCAUAUAUUGUGAUUUGUUUGUGUGGAAUUGGGAUGAAGUGGGUCACCAUGGGACUGUGAGACCGUACCGUUAUAUGGAUCCAAUAUGAUUACUGUUAGCCGGGUAAAUGGGAGAUCGGCGCCCCCGUGUGCACCUACUGCUAUGAUCUGUGUGAUAUGGAAAACCACAUUUGAUUAUUUGUGCUGUGUAUAUACUGUGCUCUGUUUGUGUGGAGUUGGGAUGAAGUGGGUCACCAUGGGUUUGUGAGGACGGUCGAUAAAUAAGGAUCCUGAUGAACUGAUGAAAGUGGACCGUCGGCCGGGUAAAUGGGAGAUCGGCGCCCCCGUGUGCACCUGAUGAACUGAUGAAAUGAUGUUGAUGAUAUGGAAAAGAAAAGAGAGAAUGUAAAAUAAAAUAUUGAGAGGACUGGUCAAGUGAGGAUUAGACCGGUCGGCCAGUAUGGGGGAUCGGCUCCCUGGUGCACAUGUGAGAGGAUGAGCCAUGUGGGAGGACGGCUCAUCGGGGGUUCGGUGACUCCACUGACUAAUUUCCACGUGAUGUGAUUAUUUGAAGGUGAUAUUGUUUGUGGGUGCUGAUGUAAUGUCAUAUGGUUGACUGUUGUGUGUUCAUUCAGUAUACUAGGGUGCAUUUUGCUUGCCUGUAUGUGGUGUGUAUUAUUUAUUAUUAUUCACUGAGUUGCAAAACUCACCCCCUUCUCUCCAAACCUCUCAGGUACUAGGAAGCAGCUGAUUCGAUUGAAGCUCUGCAAUCUUCUCCGCAGAGUUAUAAAUGUAAACUUUAUAUUUUUGUUAUUUAAUUUUGGUUGUAUAAGUUACUCUUUUAUCAGAUUAUUAUUGAACUCCGCAGUUAUAGGGUUGUGUAUUUAAAUUGGGCCUUAUUGUUAGCACUACGCUAUAAAUUAAUUAUUGUGUAAUUAACUGUAGGUAAACUAGUAAGCCCUUAUUGUGAUUAUGAGUUAUUGUGAAUAGGCCCUGGUUAAAUUUUAUGUAUUAUUUGAUAUUGGGCCAGAUGUUUGAAAAUUUUAUAAAACUUAUAUCUUAA
Molecule: long non-coding RNA, 1178 nt
Filed under: Jatropha curcas
Lineage: Eukaryota; Viridiplantae; Streptophyta; Magnoliopsida; Malpighiales; Euphorbiaceae
Description: long non-coding RNA (JCUR_LNC000609)
Source: RNAcentral